UUCACUUUUCAAAGCCAAAAC
RNAcentral lists this non-coding RNA (21 nucleotides) under Caenorhabditis elegans. The record is from RNAcentral. Lineage: Eukaryota; Metazoa; Nematoda; Chromadorea; Rhabditida; Rhabditidae.